AUGUCGGUCGAAUGGUGGUCGCUGGUGUGUCAGCCGAAUGGCAUUCGACGCAAAGCAAUGGAGUCCCUCCUGAUGCUUGUCGUUUGGGAAAUCUGGAAUAAGUGCAUCACCCACGGUUUUUUUAAUACUCCAUCCAUGCAUGCUUCUGUAUUUGCCAAGAUCAAGCGUGAAGCCUCCAAUUGGGGCUUACCCGGCGCAAAAUACUUGAGGUCCUUGAUGCGCGAACGAGACCUUAUGAGCGUUUGUGUGUACUUAUUACUUAUCUUGUUUUAG
RNAcentral lists this ribosomal RNA (273 nucleotides) under Triticum aestivum (bread wheat). RNAcentral describes it as "partial small subunit ribosomal RNA". The record is from RNAcentral. Lineage: Eukaryota; Viridiplantae; Streptophyta; Magnoliopsida; Poales; Poaceae.